CCCGUAAUGUACCAACUUUAAAUGUGACUAUUGAAAAUGUACCCGAAAUGUACCCAUUUAAAUAAACCUUGUAAUUUCACAACAGAUACAAAUAAUAUGAAAAUAAACAUUAAACAAUUUCACAACUGAUUUUGAAAUAAGAAAGCUUUUAUAGUCAAUUGUACCAGCAUUAUGUACCCAACUUCAAUCUGGCAUGUUUUUUUUUUAUUGAUGUAUGUAUGUUGUAGACAUUUUUUGUUUAAAAAAAAUAAAAUAUAUAUAUAUGAAAUAGUGCAAAUCCUGUUGAUGUUAAUGAAUUUUAAUUUAUCUAUAAAAAGGUUUUUUUUGUUCUGCCAUUAAGGUAGCUAUAGUAUUAAAGAAAAUCUGAAGGAUUACAUGAAGGGAUCCAUCCCUAAACCUCUAAAUGGAAAGCUAUUUUCCAUUUUUAAAAACAUAACAAUCAAAAAUAAAUAAUUGUAGAGACCUAGUAGUAAGAUACUCUUUUGAACUUGAUAAUGCUACAUGAUUGUUAGUCUGCAGCAAUUUCAGAAGAAAAAAUUAUAUAUAUGUGUGUGUGUGGUAAACAAUCUGUAUAUAUCAUAAUACAUACAUAUAUAGAUCUAUCUGUAUAUGAUUUUUUUUUUUUUUUUAUUUAUUUGGGGUGUGUGUGUGUUUUUUUUUUUAAUAUUGAUAUACACUGUAUGUCAAAAGAUGUCCCUGCAGAAGGAAACUAUUGAAGAUCAUCAUAUUAUUUUUAUAAACUAGUUAACUUAUUAAUUAAUUAACCAAUCAAUUCAGAGCGGGUCUUCACAGUACUUGGCUCUAACAACUGUAAAUUGAGAUCGGGUUCCUGAUAAAAAGCAUCGGGUGUGCAACUCCGAGUUCCCGCGCUUAGUAAGCAUGCAGACGCCAUGUUUAUGAUGUUGUGACAUACCGUAAACUUUAUGAACAGACAAAGAAUAGCCUUCAACAGGGACCCGAGGGAUUUUGUGGUGUUAUCCUGAAGAGACUCCCAACCAUUAAAAUAUAAUUCAUGAUAGAUACAGAAUUUAUAUGGUGUGACCACUGACCAGACUGGUUUUAAUAUGCCAUUCUGAGAAUUACACUAUGCAGACCAAAAUGAGUUUACUCUGAAUGACACUUCAGUUCAUGCACAUUUUAGAAUGUACGUCAUCAAUGUUCUCCCAAAGGAAAGUGAGCAAAAACUUAUCCAGAGAAUCUACAGCACAUUUUUGUGAAACUUUUUAAAAUGCACAGGAGAAAUAGGAUUACGAAGAAGAGAAGCUUUGUCAUAAUUUUUUAUAGUAUGAAUUAAAUGCAAUUUCUCAUA
This is a long non-coding RNA of Ostrea edulis (European flat oyster), 1309 nucleotides long. RefSeq lists it as uncharacterized. The record is from RefSeq and is a predicted model, not a curated record. The transcript is spliced from 4 exons. Lineage: Eukaryota; Metazoa; Mollusca; Bivalvia; Ostreida; Ostreidae.